UCCUUCUUUUCUCUCCUCCUUGUGUCAUCAGAGUUCAGGAAAAAAUUCUACCCCACUCACAUUGUUAGUUGUGGAGACCUUGGAUCCACAUAUUGAUGCUGUUAGUGGUAGCUCAUAUCAGCCAGAGUGCUUGGCUGUUGAGUCUGCUCAUGCUCAUCUUCAGGUGAUGUGUUUGACGUCUCAGUGGUGAAUGAAAUCAUGGCUUGAGGUUCACCAAGACCAUGACCACUGGUGCUUGGCUCCUUACGUCAGCUUCCUCAGGUGCUCCUGGCUCUCUUAUGACUCAGGUGCUUCCCCUCCCUCCUGAUUUUGGGAUGUUUCAGCCCUCAGCCUGGACAUCUGCAUCCCUCAUAUAGUUGCACGGGGAUUUCUGGAUCCUUACCAUGCUAUGAGCAAGCAGUAGGGAAAGACAGGAGCAGUAUUUUGGGACCAUCCAUAUAGACACCUCACUCUACAAAUAAUGCUCUAUCAUUCUUGCAACAUGUCAGUCUUGACUCAGGGAGCAGAGCCCCACUUAGAUGCUCUUGGAUUCUCCUUCAAGGUAUAUGGGUUUGUUGUUCUUAAGUUUCUGUCAGCUUGAAGUUUCUAUUAUGAUGUAUCUAUUGCUCCUCUGAAACCAUGCUCAGGACAUUAGGGCACUGAGUUUCAAGAAAUCCACAACCUUACCCUGGUCUUAUCUUUUUUGAAAUUUUUCUAAAUUUAUUGCGUCUUCCUUCCAGAGGCCAGAGAGAUUUGUAUUUUUAUUUCCUCUGUAAUAGAAGGUGAUCUUCCAUCAAAUUCUCACUUUUCUAUAGAAUAAAACCCUAUGCUCAGAUUUCCAGAUUUCCUGCCCUUGAUAUGUACAAGUAAGGCUUUGGAAUUUAGCAAAGCAUUUUGCCUCAAAACAAAGCUUGGUUUGUAAGACUGUUACACUAUGGAUGCAAGAAAAUAUUUUUUUUGGUGUUUAAAGCUGAACAAUGAUUUCUUUAUUCUAGGCAGCAUCUGACUUCCCUCAGAAAUGAAAAGAAGCCAUUAAAUCAGAAGCCAGAGGCAACAUGAUUUAUGGGGAUGGAAGAAUCAUUGUUUUAAACAUCUCAAAAUAGAAUUCUCUUUAUAACAGCAAGAUCAUGUUUCAUUUCUGAAUGCCUAGUGCCUAGCUCAGCAUCUGCUACACAGUAGGCACUCAAUAAACGUGUCUUGAAUGAAAGGACAGUCUUGUUAGCUUUUUCCAGGUCACACUAUAUAGCAUAACUUUGGAUAACCAAGUUGAUGUAAAAUCAACUUAAGGAUGUCUAUGAAUGAAUGGAACACAUCUGCAUUGGACCUGGUUCCUGUGUCUCCCCACAUUUACUCAGUCCCACUUAACCCCAGGGCCUAAGCUGCUAUCACCUCACUCCUAACACAGUGAUUCUUCAAGUACGGUAUCUGGAAAGACACUUUCCAACCUGACAUGAUCGUGAAAGUCCUUUUCCCAGGCGCCUGCAUACCACUUCCUGAUAAUUCUUAUGUGUUACUGUCAAAUAUCUCUCAGCUUACGUAGCCACAUGAAGUAUUUUUGUUCAACAUUUCUUAUUCAUGACUGUAUAAAAUUGAUGAAGGAGUAAUUUCAUUAGUAACAUAGAAAGAUAUCUGCAGGAAACAUAACUGUAAAGAGGAUUAUGGGCCUUUAGAAAGUGCACGUGCCAAGAAGAUCAAGGCCCAGAUUAAGACCAAAUGGCAUGGACAUAGUGAACUUUGUGUGUAUGAUCUGAUCAAUCUAUUUAAUAGAACUGGGAUCCCUAGGAAUGGAGACCAAGUAGUGGAAGAUCAGAAUGGCCUGGUGGAUGAUGCAGAGGCCUACUGAAGGCCACAGUGACUGACUUGGUGCUUGUGGAGCUCAAGAUGAGGAGGACGUUAAGAACAUCCAAGAAGAGACCAGUUGGGUAGAACUGACUGAGCAGAGGCCAAACGAGGAUUAACAGUUAGUUGAUGUUACCAUAAACCUCAUCAAAAUCCUUUGGUGAUACUUUGUUACUAAUUCCAGAGUUCUCGGACUUUAGGAAAUUACUUUUGUUAAAAAUUCCUGGUUUGUGCCACAGAGGUUCUUAUUAUCUAGAGUCAAGCACAGAAGUGUUAUCUUUAAUAGCCAAAGUGAUUUUUCCCACAUUUUCAGAAACACUGACAUUAAGGAUAAAGUCCAAAUUCCUGUUCAUAAAACUUAGCAUCUUCUAAGAUUUUUCAAGGCUGUUCAAGCAUUUCUUUAUGAAGUAAUUCUUAAUACCAUUGAGUGUGAUGAAUUUUUUUUGUGUGUACCAUUGCAUUUCACAGCAUCAUAGAGCUUUUAGAACAUAAGAACAGCUACUCAUUUACAUUUCUGUCAUUUUAUUCAAGAUAGUGAGCAAUUAAAAAAGGGACUGACACUUGCUUUUGAUUUCCCAGGGCUUAGCACAGUGCUUAGUAUAGAACAAGCUCUAAAAAAAUUAGUUCUACUGUAUCUAUAAAUAAAACCAAGUGAAAGUUUUUCUUAUCUCUGUAAAAGAACAGAUAUUGCUAACAUGUUAAAAAUUAUCACAAAAUUACAUUGUACCAUAUUGUUUUUCUUCCUUGUGAUGUCAUUGUCUGACUUCAGUAUCCAAGUAGUGGUCACCUCAUCAAUUGAAUUGGGAAAUGUUCCUCUGGCUUCUAUUUUCUGAAAGAGAGAGAGAGAGAGAGAGAGAGUGUGUGUGUGUGUGUGUGUGUGUGUGUGUGCGUGUGUAUGUGGGUUUUGAUUGGUAUUACUUUUUGCUUAAAUGUUUGUUUGAUAGAAUUUAUCAGAGAAGUCAUCUGGGCUUUGAUUUUUCUUUGUGGGAAGAUUUUAAAUUACAAUUUCUUUACUUUAUAUAGGUCUAUUCAGAUUUUCUAUGUAUUCCUAACUCAGUUUUGGUAAUUUGUGUCUUUCUAGAAAUUUGUCUAUUUCAUGUAAUCUAUUUGGUAUAAAGUUUUUUGUAACAUUGUCUUAUAAAUAUUUUGAUAGCUCUGUGUUCUAUAGUGAA
Molecule: long non-coding RNA, 2990 nt
Filed under: Homo sapiens (human)
Lineage: Eukaryota; Metazoa; Chordata; Mammalia; Primates; Hominidae
Description: HSALNT0052010
Source: RNAcentral